GUUUAUACGAAAUAAUGUAUAAUUUAGCCUGCCCACUGAGUUUUAAAGGGCCGCGGUAAUUUGACCGUGCGAAGGUAGCAUAAUCAGUAGUCUCUUAAUUGGGGGCUUGUAUGAAAGGUUGGACGAGAGGAAAGCUGUCUUUGUGGUGGAUCUUGAAUUUUACUUUUAAGUGAAAAGUCUUAAAUGUACUUAAGGGACGAUAAGACCCUGUAAAACUUAAUAAGGCUCUCUUGUUUAAAAAAUAUGAGUUAAACUUUAGUUCGUGAGAUUCUUAUUUGGUUGGGGCGACUGGAAUAUAAUAGUAUAGUAACUGUUCAUAAAAAUAAAUAAUCAUAAUUUGUAAACAUGAGCCUUUAUUAAGGAUUAAAAGAUAAAGUUACUUCAGGGAUAACAGCGUGAUUUUUUUUGAGAGUCCUUAUCGACAAAAGUAGUUGCGACCUCGAUGUUGAAUUAAAAUUUCUUUCAAAUGCAGCAGUUUGAUUAGUGGGUCUGUUCGACCUUUAAAAUUUU
This 510-nucleotide ribosomal RNA is filed under the name Tozeuma carolinense (arrow shrimp). RNAcentral's name for it is "partial 16S ribosomal RNA". It matches the Rfam family "Bacterial large subunit ribosomal RNA", at positions 1831 to 2597 of the family's 2925-position model. Lineage: Eukaryota; Metazoa; Arthropoda; Malacostraca; Decapoda; Hippolytidae. The record is from RNAcentral.